UGGUAGCGUGUCUCGCGAGCAAAUGUGGUAUUUUUAUAUAAUUUUUCUCUCUGUGCUGGUAAAGUUAUAUGGACAACCGUUAAGUGUUAUACGAUAUAAUGGUAAAAAGUUAAAUCUUCCCCAACCAAUUGUAACCUUGGCUGCUGCAGCGGUUGGUGGCCCUGGAGAGCAUCGCCGGGGAUGGAAUGGCGGCCUCGUUGCCGUCGUCGGUGCCGCCCCGCACGAUGAUGCUGCGGUCGGUGGCCCGGUCCACCAGGCGGUACGCGCCGGGGGUGUCUAUGGGCACCUUGUCGAAGCUGCGGGUCUCGUCCCCCUCUGCCGUGGCCGCCGUCGCCUAGCUCCGGCGGGAGCCCGUGCAGGAGACAGAUACGGAGCUCCAUGGGGAGGUGGGGUGGCGGAGCAAGAGGGGAACCGCGCAGAUCUGAGCCCCCGCCACCUUCAUCCUCUCCAACGAUUGCCUGGUGCUUGUGCUUGCUCAACUAAGAUAUUAGGCCAGUCUCAAUGGGGUUUCAUUAGAGUUUCAUGCACAUUAAAUAUGCUGAUGUGGCGCUAUAUUAAUGAAGAGAGAUGAUAAGAGCUUCAUGGAAGUAGAGAGAGUUUCAUCCCCAUGAAACUCCUAUGCACUGUUUCCAAAAUAAUAUUGAUGUGUUGGAAACUGUGACAUGAAACUCCCAUUGAGGAUGGCCUUAUAGAUUUAAUCUUUCCACAAUGUUGUUACCUUUUUGCUGAAAUUACUUUGCUUUACCUUCAUUGUCAUGAUUUGCUGGAUUGAAAUCAAUUCUUGAAUCUAGAGUAUAUUUAGAUACGCAAUUUCACUAGAUUUGGAUCAAACUACUUAAUUUAGUUUGUUUUUUUUUCCCAUAUAAACAUCCUUUUUUUUAAUCUCUACUUGGGCACCUUCAGUGAGUAGCAGAGAUGUCAAGCACUUCCAUUCUAUAUGUCACUAAUACAUUCAUGUCCACUUGUUCAGAACAUAAAUAUAGAUCCAGUUAUUAUAAAAAAAGAUCCAUUUAAUUUGGCCAAAUUCAGCUUGUGCAAGGCUGUUGCGUUGACCUUUUGUUGAGUUGUAUGUUUGGUGCACAACUUAUUUGUGCUUUAUUGGACUCGUUUUAGGUUCAGAAACAAGUGUGUGAUAACUUUGAUCCUAGCUUUUACCCUAGAUUCAAAAAGUGGUGUGAUGACUAUUUUUAUAUCAAGCUUAGUUUGUCCAGCUGUUUGUUUGAUGCUAAUGAUUCUUGUGAUUUUUUUUAUUUUCCAUUUUUUGUAGGUCUCACUGAUACAUGGCUAUGAUCUAGAAACACUUCUUCGCUUUGCCACUGGUGUCAUACCAUCUUUUGUAAUCUUGUGCUUUUCUUUUCUUUCAAAAGUAUUAAUUAAAUUCCAGUAGGGGCGGAGCCCCUCCUGUUUCCUCAAAAAAAUAUAAAUUCCUCACUUAUAGUGCACGGUAAUCAUCUGCUCAUCGGAGUCGCGCCCACUGGUUGCCUUUCUUUCUGUCUUUGGUCUUUGUAGAAGUGGUUGUUGAGGUGGUGGUAGUAGGGAUGAUGGAGGGGACGUUGCCACCACAGCAGUGGCCGUGGACACGAUGGUGCUGUCAGCCCCCUGCAACUCAUCUCCUGCAAUCUAGUUGAGCCCGCAGUUCAUUGGUUUGCUUAAGGGCCAGGUAGGAUAGUAUGCUGCGACUAUAUUUCUUGACCAGUUUGCAGAUGCACACGACAUGGCCUGAGAAUGUAUUGUGCAAUUCUGCUAAAUUGCCCCCUUGCGGCCUUAGUUUGCAGAACAGAGGAUUCAGACUUUUUGGUUGUGAGUGAUAUGACUGUCCCAAGUCAAUACUCAUCCCUGCCUUGAAUGGAUCUGGUACUCCUCUUUUCAAAAGCAUACAUGUUGUCAACUGUCAUGUUGAUCAAAUUGUUAUUGCAGGGCUGAAUAACCCAAAGGUAUCAAAUUUUGUCUUAUGGAUUCUUGCAGAACUUGCUGUUGCUGCAUGUGACAUUACCGAAGGUGGGAGAGCUGAAACCUAGGAAGUCGAUCUCUGAUUCAAUUCUUAGAUAAACAAAAGAGUUUGGAAUCAUCACUGACGUAAAGGUCUUCCACCAGAUCAUGUUCUAAAUUUCAGUCUCUGAGCUGUUAUAUUGUUUGUAAUUCUUCAGGCGGCAUAUACUAUUGUACCGACAUAUUGGCCUUUUUUUUUACUUCAGUUUUACUUUAAAUUACUAAUAUUUAAUAUCUCUUAAAAUUUCAGCACUCCACAGUAAGGAAACGAAAAGAGAAAAGGAAUAGAUGAGUUGAUAGAAUCACUGAAAGUUGUGCUAGAAAAAAGAACCACAAAAAGGAUACAUUGACUUUUUUUAAGAGUAAUGCAAGUCGUCUAGGAAUUGAACCAAUUACUUAAUAUAUUGUGUACUUUCAUCAAAUAAGUAUGUUGACGCUUCUCUUUUCAGUUGUAUUUUGAGCUUGAGGACAACAGUGCAUUGAGCCUUGCUUUAAAGGUAUACAUGUGUGUAGCCAGCUUAUCAUUUGUGUUAACCAAAUGAAAAAAGAAGAAAUAUGAUACCAAACAUGUAAACGAAAUAUUUUCUUACCAAGUUUAGAUCUUGUCAAUUGGCAACCAAAUUUCCUAUUGAUUGGCAAACAUAUUUUCUUACAAAUAUUUAUCCACAUGUGAGUUGCGUUGUGCAUGUCCACUACAGCGGUUUAAUGUGUGUUAU
Molecule: long non-coding RNA, 2705 nt
Organism: Sorghum bicolor (sorghum)
Lineage: Eukaryota; Viridiplantae; Streptophyta; Magnoliopsida; Poales; Poaceae
Exons: 3
Source: RefSeq, a predicted model, not a curated record